AUGAGCUACCGGGGAAGUCCAGGUGCCUCGCCAGUGCCAUCUCCGAUGGUACCUCUCAUGGUGGUCCUGGCCUUGGGGUGGGUCAUCUGCAAUGAGACCCUGAUGGAGUGGUAUGAGCAGGUGACUGACGUGCAGGAGACGGUGACCGACAAUGCCCUCAUCUUAAUCCUCGCCUCUGGGUUCCUGCUGCUCGCGGUCGUCCACCUUAGCAGCCGGAUGGAAGUGGUGCCGGCGGUGCUGGUGCUGGUCAUGCUCUUGAUUCAGAACAUCGUUGUUGCCACGUUCCUGUUGCUGCUGGCGGUGUACUUCGCCGGAAUAUACUACUACCCACCUCAUCGGGACUACGGUGGCAGCGGCAAUCUCACCGACCCCGGCGAUGACUGGACAGGCUCUGGGCUAGGGUUCUACAUGCUGCUGCUGCUUUGCCUGGUGCUGUGCGCCAUGUUUUCAGAGGAGGGGGGCAGCUGGUGGAUUCCAGGUGUGCUGUUGGCUGCAUGACUGCUCUGCCUCAACCUCUUCGCAGGUGGCAAAGUCUUAGGCUAUUAA
RNAcentral lists this ribosomal RNA (546 nucleotides) under Triticum aestivum (bread wheat). RNAcentral's name for it is "partial small subunit ribosomal RNA". Lineage: Eukaryota; Viridiplantae; Streptophyta; Magnoliopsida; Poales; Poaceae. The record is from RNAcentral.